Molecule: ribosomal RNA, 552 nt
Filed under: Trigonopterus laetus
Lineage: Eukaryota; Metazoa; Arthropoda; Insecta; Coleoptera; Curculionidae
Description: partial 16S ribosomal RNA
Source: RNAcentral
ACCUGGCUCACGCCGGUCUAAACUCAGAUCAUGUAAAAUUUUAAAGGUCGAACAGACCAAAUUUAUUAGCUCCUUCACCAAUAAUUUAUUUUAAUCCAACAUCGAGGUCGCAAUCCUUUUCUUCGAUAAGAACUCUAAAAAAAAUUACGCUGUUAUCCCUAAGGUAAUUUAAUCUUUUAACCUAAAAUUUAGGAUCAAUCUUUCACACAUAAGUGUUUCCGUACAUAAAAAGUUUUCUUAAUUUUUAAAUCACCCCAAUCAAAUACACUUCAAAAAAACAAGCCUUCAUUCUACUAACUUAACUUUCUAGUCAUAUAUAAAACUCUAUAGGGUCUUCUCGUCUUCUACAAUUAUUUAAGCUUUUUCACUUAAAAAUAAAAUUCUAAUAAAUUUUCACAGAGACAGAAUCUCCCUCAUCAAACCUUUCAUUCCAGCUUUUAAUUAAAAAACUAGUGAUUAUGCUACCUUUGCACGGUCAGUAUACCGCGGCCAUUUAACUUCUCAGUGGGCAGGUCAGACUUGAAAUUAUGAUCAACAAGCCAUGUUUUUAAU